AUUGAACGCUGGCGGCAUGCCUUACACAUGCAAGUCGAACGGCAGCACGGGAGCAAUCCUGGUGGCGAGUGGCGAACGGGUGAGUAAUGCAUCGGAACGUGCCAUUGAGUGGGGGAUAACGUAGCGAAAGUUACGCUAAUACCGCAUAUUCUGUGCGCAGGAAAGCAGGGGAUCGCAAGACCUUGCGCUCUUUGAGCGGCCGAUGUCAGAUUAGCUAGUUGGUGGGGUAAAGGCUCACCAAGGCGACGAUCUGUAGCGGGUCUGAGAGGAUGAUCCGCCACACUGGGACUGAGACACGGCCCAGACUCCUACGGGAGGCAGCAGUGGGGAAUUUUGGACAAUGGGGGCAACCCUGAUCCAGCCAUGCCGCGUGAGUGAAGAAGGCCUUCGGGUUGUAAAGCUCUUUCGGCCGGGUAAGGAAGUACGCACAGGUUAAUAACCCUCGUGUGGAUGACGGUACCGGACGUAAGAAGACACCGGCUAACUACGU
Molecule: ribosomal RNA, 490 nt
Filed under: uncultured bacterium
Lineage: Bacteria
Description: bacterial SSU rRNA
Rfam family: Bacterial small subunit ribosomal RNA
Source: RNAcentral